UAUUGCACAAUGGGGGAAACCCUGAUGCAGCGACGCCGCGUGAGUGAAGAAGUAUUUCGGUAUGUAAAGCUCUAUCAGCAGGGAAGAAAAUGACGGUACCUGAUUAAGAAGCCCCGGCUAACUACGUGCCAGCAGCCGCGGUAAUACGUAGGGGGCAAGCGUUAUCCGGAUUUGCUGGGUGUAAAGGGAGCGUAGACGGCAGCACAAGUCUGGAGUGAAAUGCCGGGGCUUAACCCCGGAACUGCUUUGGAAACUGGGCGGCUAGAGUGCAGGAGAGGUAGGCGGAAUUCCUAGUGUAGCGGUGAAAUGCGUAGAUAUUAGGAGGAACACCAGUGGCGAAGGCGGCCUACUGGACGGUGACUGACGCUGAGGCUCGAAAGCGUGGGGAGCAAACAGG
RNAcentral lists this ribosomal RNA (397 nucleotides) under uncultured bacterium. Its description in RNAcentral is "bacterial SSU rRNA". It matches the Rfam family "Bacterial small subunit ribosomal RNA", at positions 362 to 776 of the family's 1533-position model. The record is from RNAcentral.